Molecule: small nucleolar RNA, 72 nt
Organism: Callithrix jacchus (white-tufted-ear marmoset)
Lineage: Eukaryota; Metazoa; Chordata; Mammalia; Primates; Cebidae
Source: Ensembl
UUGCAAUGAUGUGAAUCUCUCACUGAAUUUAACCUUAAAGUGGGAAUCCAGAGCUUUUUAACCCUGAGCAGU